This is a long non-coding RNA of Helianthus annuus (common sunflower), 1587 nucleotides long. RefSeq lists it as uncharacterized. The record is from RefSeq and is a predicted model, not a curated record. Lineage: Eukaryota; Viridiplantae; Streptophyta; Magnoliopsida; Asterales; Asteraceae. The transcript is spliced from 4 exons.
UUUGAGAAGUUAAACAAUUUGGUCCAGUGAUUCGGUGAAGCACCUGAAAAUAGUGGUUGCAAAGAAGUGGGAAAUUCACAAAAAUCCAUCGAAAAGCAAACGAAUGGAGGAUAGAAGUUCGAUUUUUAUCCGUCAAGUUAGGUUUUGGUGAAGCCGAAGGAGCUGAACUACAGGCGGAUACCAAAGGGCUUGUAGCAUAGCGAUAUAAAGUUGUCUACUAAAGGCGUUCAAAGUGGUUGAGGAUUCUUGUCCCUUGGUGGACGUUGGUGUAGAUCUAGGAGUAGGUCUAGAGGGUUUGUGAGUUGGACGGUUUAAAAACAUGAGGUAAAUGCCUGAACCAACGUCCGUUGGUGUCUAUGAGGAUGAUAACGUGGUCCUAGAGUAAAAUGGUAACAAUGUCAAGAAAGCAGGGCUCCAUUCAACGCUUGCUUCACUCCUCGAUGAUCAUGUGCUUGCAGAUAUACCAAAGAAACCAACUCUAUCAGAUGUUGACACCCUCAUCAGCUUGGAACUUGGGAGUGCACAUCUUUUGAUGUUGCUGUGAUGAAUUCUGCUACACUUAAGGAUUUGAAACUAGCCGUCGAGAAAAAAUCCAAUGAAAUAGAGCAGUCAAAGAUGGGCCAUCGCCAUAUUUCUUGGUAUUUCUCUCUCCCCCUUUUCUUUCCUUAUGUUACUUAAUUGUUUCUCAAACGUAAAGGGGAUGCACAAAAGGGAUGCACGAAGAUCAUUGAUCUAACACAAACCCCAUAUCAACCUUGUUUGUUAAUCGUCUGCUGUUGACGGAAGUCAAUCGGAGGUGAAGAACUAAGUUGUCGGCCGGAGGUGAUGAGAGAUGGUAAUCGGUGGUCGAUUGAUCGGCGCGGUGCUUAUCGGAGGUGAAUAGAGUGGUUGCCGUGGUGGAAAUUGUCGACAAAAGGAAUGAAGGACCGUGGUGGAGGUGUUUUCCGGCGGUCGGAGAUGAUAAAAGUUGAUCAGUGGUCGUGUACAGAGAGAUGGUCGUCGGCAGUGUGAUGGGGUAAUCGGAGGUGGGUAGUGUGAUAGAUGAUGGUGGAGGUUAGUCUAUUGUGGGUGACGGUGGAUAUGGUGGUCGAUCGGAGGGUGAGUCGUGAUUGUUAUUCGACGGUGGGGUAGUGGUGAUUGUUGGUCAGAAAAAGGUGGAUGGAUGGUGGUUGAUGUCCUCGGUGGCGGAGUUGUUCCUAAUGGGGCAUCAAUGUGAAGAAAAACUGGGGCAAAAGACAGGAAGACAGGGACUGAACAGCCAAAUUGGGGAAGAAGACGGGGACUGAAUAGAGGUGCACACGUGUCAAAAGGUGAGUGGUUGCUGAGGAAAGCUCUUUUAAGCCGUGUCGAAACUCGUGCAAAGGCCCGUGGAGUCGUUUCAGUUGGCCAUUUUUGAAAAAUUGAUCAUUCAAUGGCUAUUUUGGUAAUUAUCCCUUAUGAAUUUGUGUUGGAAACUGAUAAAGUAAAAAACAAUACGCGCGUCAUAGCUGGUUGGGUUUGGUUUCAUUUUUAGGUUAUUUUGUAUGAUUAAUCUGUUUGACCCGUUAUCAAUCAUAUCCAAUCCGUAUUAACAGGUUUUCAUUAAAA